Molecule: long non-coding RNA, 2950 nt
Organism: Hylaeus anthracinus
Lineage: Eukaryota; Metazoa; Arthropoda; Insecta; Hymenoptera; Colletidae
Exons: 4
Source: RefSeq, a predicted model, not a curated record
GAAGGUCGACCUUCCAGAGUAGAGAAGGCUACAGCGCCCUUUGUCAAGGGUGAUAUAUCGGAAUAUUCCGAAGUACACAGAACCCUGGUGUCGUCCCCUUUCACUGUCUCCUUCGAAUCUGAUGCCCCAACUCUCUGGACGUGGCGACUCGAAGAGCACUCGGACAGUCGAAAUAAGGAGCAUCGAAGUGAUCGAGGAAGAAACGAAUUCUACGCCAUUGCAUGUUUCCUGCAGUGACAUCUAUUUUAAAGAAAAUCAAGAAAAAAGGGGAAGAAGCCUAGAUAAGUGUGCUUCAAAUUGCUUCACGUGUGUUCUACAGUGUUUCUAUUAAUCGAAUUGAAAUUUAUUAUAUUUGAAGGAAAGUUGACAUUGAAUUUGUGAAGAAGGCACGAAGAUCUACGCCAUUGCAAUUCUCCACUGUGAAACCAGCGGGGUGCAAGUGUCUGAUUCUUUCGUAACUGAACAUGUGGCGCGCAGACAGAGAUUCUAUACACUUUCCAUUUUUAAGAAGGUUCUACUAUUAUCCAGAUUCUUCGAGCUUUUAAACCAGUUACUCAAUGUUAAGUAUUUUUUAAUAGUAAACGAUCGUUUCACGUUAAAAAUUCGAUGAUAAUUCCAACAGGAUUCAACGCGAGAAAAUUGUUCACGACUCCGAAGUAGAGUUGAGAUGAUUAUUUGCUAACGGCACACGCUAUUAGCAGAUUCGAAAGAUGCAACGUUAGCAAUCUUCGAAGUAAGAUUAGGUUCCUCAUAGUGAUUAAUUCUACUGUAUUGUUUAUACGUAGAUAACGACUUUUUAGUAUUUGCAAUUUAUUAGGUGUAGAAAUUAAUUCUGUGCGUUUACAAUUACACAUAAUUAUAGUUUAAGUAAAAAUAUUUAGAACAAUGAAUUAAUUGAUUUUAAAUUGCACAGAAGAAGACUGUAUUUUUUUCAGAUACAAAAUAUUAUAUCAAGCUCUGCUAGAGUUAUAAUACUUGACAUUGGUUAAAACAUUCUCCUAAGGUAUAUAAGAUGCAGGGAAAAUUUUUUAAAAAUUAAAUAAAUAUUAAAGACAAUUUUAUUUAACUAAUCGAGAGUAACAGAUUGCUCGAAGAAAUCAGUUGAAAAAUAAAAUAUUCACGCUGGAGUUCGUGGCUCGCUUGUAUUUCUUCAUCGUUCGUGUUCAGAGAGUUAUCUCAUCGCGCACGCAUCCUGAUUGAUAAGGAAGUAAAAUGGAAAAAGAAGACCAGAGGGGGAUGGGAGAAAGAGAGCGACAAACAUUGAGGACGUGUUAAAAGUUCAUCGCUGGUACCGAUGAAUGAAUCUCCCUUUAUCUAUGGUUGUGAGAUUCGUCGAGCAUAUCUAUUCUAAUUUCGCGAAGAAUGAACUCGAUCGUUGUCAUCCAAACAAAAUUACAAAACUUAGAUUACAGAGAAACCAGUGCAAGCAGCAGUGAAUUAAAAUUUUGUGGACCUUUGGGCUACAGGUACAGUGUUUACACAUGUAAUCAAAGUUUAAUAUACUUUGUUAAUUAUUAAUAUAAAGGUACCGAAUUGAAUUUUUUUUUAAAUAAAUAAUUAAGAAUAUAUAUCAGGUGUAAAGAUUAAUUCUCUGGCUCUAUAUUCAGUUAUUUAUAAUUCUCCUUAAACUAAAGUUAUAAAUAAUUCAAUAUACAUUCACAGAAUUAAUGUCUACGCCUAAUAUUUAUACUCUGGUUCAACAUUCCUAAUCAAAAUCUCUGGAGACUUCCCAGUUAACGAGGGGCCCUCAGACUGUAAUCCCUAAGGUCAACAUCUUAAUUCGACCCUGAGAGCAAGUAAACACGAGUUAUCUUUGAUUUGCUGUAUUGAUAAUUGCAUCGUACCUAAGUGAAGAGUGAGAUUAACUUGGUUCGGAUAUUCGAUUCCCUCGAACAUUGUUUCCGACUGCCACCAGGUCGCGUUGUCGUUAUUAUCGUGAUCGGUAAGGAAUGUGGCCGGAUGGUCGCCAAAUCGACAUAUCUCGCAGGACUUCUUUUGGACGCCCGUCUGUUUACAAAAUUCUGUCGGUCGGUCCUGACCGCACGUGUUCGUCGCUUCCAUGGGCACAUUGAAAGCUGCAUUCUCGAAAGGCGGGGGAAGACCACAUUAGGAGUCCAUGUGUUAAGUGUUUCUUUGGAUAUUAUUUUUUAUAGAGAAGAAUUUAUGUAAUAUGUAUGUAAGCGUCAAAGUCAUUUGCAAAGGUGCAAAGUGACACUAUAGCAAGUACAAAGGAUUACUAUAGGACCAUCGCAAGUGGGGAUCAGUUGUGUUCAACUAUUCAUUGUUUCAGAAAUUAUUUUCACUGGAAAAUUCUUUAGUGGUAGCUGAAGGUCUCUAGAUGGCACUGUUUUUUACAGGAUUUCGGGGAAUUGCGAUUCAUUGUAACUAAUUGUAAGAUUAACCACACUAAAAAAAGUUCAAAAUUAAAGUAGAAUUCUAAAUAUGGAUUAAAGCGCUAUUAGUCUUAUUAUUUUGUUUGCAGUGUAAAUGUAAUUGUGGUAUACGUUAUGUAAAUCAAAAUUUGUAUAUGAUAUUUCCUUGAAAUUUUGAAGCACGAAAUUAUACAUAAACUUUAAGUGAAAUUGAUCAGUCAAAUACUCUCCAAGUUCGUUGUUAGAAAAUAAAACAAAGACAAAGAGAGUGCUGCUUUAAUUUUUUAAUUUUCGAAAUACUUUCACGCUUGGAACGUCUGUCUAGCUUUAUCUUCCUACGCCUAUCGUUGAAACACGAUGUUAUUUCGAACCUCGCUUUGAUAACCUAAUGUAGUAAUAUUCUACAAAUAAAAACCGUAACUGCGAUGACUAAGAAUAAACAGGAGCCUGUUCAUGAUGGGCUGGUAGACAAAGACAGAUAGAGUACCACAGUUUUCUUUCUCUUUUUAGGUGUGGUACAGUUAGAGGCCUGUCUUCCUUACUCUCUUUAUAUCUUUUUGAUUGUAUAACAAUUAACG